CAGGCCUAACACAUGCAAGUCGAACGCACCUUCGGGUGAGUGGCAGACGGGUGAGUAACACGUGGGAACGUGCCCUUCGGUUCGGAAUAACUCAGGGAAACUUGAGCUAAUACCGGAUACGCCCUUUGGGGGAAAGGUUUACUGCCGAAGGAUCGGCCCGCGUCUGAUUAGCUAGUUGGUGGGGUAAUGGCCUACCAAGGCGACGAUCAGUAGCUGGUCUGAGAGGAUGAUCAGCCACACUGGGACUGAGACACGGCCCAGACUCCUACGGGAGGCAGCAGUGGGGAAUAUUGGACAAUGGGCGAAAGCCUGAUCCAGCCAUGCCGCGUGAGUGAUGAAGGCCUUAGGGUUGUAAAGCUCUUUUGUCCGGGAAGAUAAUGACUGUACCGGGAGAAUAAGCCCCGGCUAACUUCGUGCCAGCAGCCGCGGUAAU
RNAcentral lists this ribosomal RNA (433 nucleotides) under uncultured bacterium. RNAcentral describes it as "bacterial SSU rRNA". It matches the Rfam family "Bacterial small subunit ribosomal RNA", at positions 43 to 524 of the family's 1533-position model. The record is from RNAcentral.